This 803-nucleotide ribosomal RNA is filed under the name uncultured bacterium. RNAcentral describes it as "bacterial SSU rRNA". It matches the Rfam family "Bacterial small subunit ribosomal RNA", at positions 651 to 1455 of the family's 1533-position model. The record is from RNAcentral.
UCAGAGGGGGGUAGAAUNCCACGUGUAGCAGUGAAAUGCGUAGAGAUGUGGAGGAAUACCGAUGGCGAAGGCAGCCCCCUGGGAUAAUACUGACGUUCAUGCUCGAAAGCGUGGGUAGCAAACAGGAUUAGAUACCCUGGUAGUNCACGCCCUAAACGAUGUCAAUUAGCUGUUGGGGCACUUGAUGCCUUAGUAGCGAAGCUAACGCGUGAAAUUGACCGCCUGGGGAGUACGGUCGCAAGAUUAAAACUCAAAGGAAUUGACGGGGACCCGCACAAGCGGUGGAUGAUGUGGAUUAAUUCGAUGCAACGCGAAGAACCUUACCUGGUCUUGACAUGUACGGAAUCUUCCAGAGACGGAAGAGUGCCUUCGGGAGCCGUAACACAGGUGCUGCAUGGCUGUCGUCAGCUCGUGUCGUGAGAUGUUGGGUUAAGUCCCGCAACGAGCGCAACCCUUGUCAUUAGUUGCCACCAUUCAGUUGGGCACUCUAAUGAGACUGCCGGUGACAAACCGGAGGAAGGUGGGGAUGACGUCAAGUCCUCAUGGCCCUUAUGACCAGGGCUUCACACGUCAUACAAUGGUCGGUACAGAGGGUAGCCAAGCCGCGAGGUGGAGCCAAUCUCAGAAAACCGAUCGUAGUCCGGAUUGCACUCUGCAACUCGAGUGCAUGAAGUCGGAAUCGCUAGUAAUCGCAGGUCAGCAUACUGCGGUGAAUACGUUCCCGGGUCUUGUACACACCGCCCGUCACACCAUGGGAGUGGGGGAUACCAGAAGUAGGUAGGCUAACCGCAAGGAGGCCGCUU